AUACCGGAUACGACCAGUCCUCGCAUGGGGUGCUGGUGGAAAGAUUUAUCGGUCUUGGAUGGACUCGCGGCCUAUCAGCUUGUUGGUGAGGUAAUGGCUCACCAAGGCGAUGACGGGUAGCCGGCCUGAGAGGGUGACCGGCCACACUGGGACUGAGACACGGCCCAGACUCCUACGGGAGGCAGCAGUGGGGAAUAUUGCACAAUGGGCGAAAGCCUGAUGCAGCGACGCCGCGUGCGGGAUGACGGCCUUCGGGUUGUAAACCGCUUUCAGCAGGGAAGAAGCGAAAGUGACGGUACCUGCAGAAGAAGCGCCGGCUAACUACGUGCCAGCAGCCGCGGUAAUACGUAGGGCGCGAGCGUUAUCCGGAAUUAUUGGGCGUAAAGAGCUCGUAGGCGGUUUGUCACGUCUGCUGUGAAAGCCCGAGGCUCAACCUCGGGUGUGCAGUGGGUACGGGCAGACUACAGUGCAGUAGGGGAGACUGGAAUUCCUGGUGUAGCGGUGAAAUGCGCAGAUAUCAGGAGGAACACCGAUGGCGAAGGCAGGUCUCUGGGCUGUUACUGACGUUUGAGGAGCGAACAGCAUGGGGAGCGAACAGGAUUAGAUACCCUGGGUAGUCCAUGCCGUAAACUUUGGGCACUAGGUGUGGGGGACAUUCCACGUUUUCCGCGCCCGUACCUAACGCAUUAAGUGCCCCUGCCUGGGGAGUACGCCCGCAAGGCUAAAACUCAAAGGAAUUGAUGGGG
Molecule: ribosomal RNA, 746 nt
Filed under: Nesterenkonia sp. S1-40
Lineage: Bacteria; Bacillati; Actinomycetota; Actinomycetes; Micrococcales; Micrococcaceae
Description: bacterial SSU rRNA
Rfam family: Bacterial small subunit ribosomal RNA
Source: RNAcentral